This 208-nucleotide ribosomal RNA is filed under the name uncultured bacterium. Its description in RNAcentral is "partial 16S ribosomal RNA". It matches the Rfam family "Bacterial small subunit ribosomal RNA", at positions 1285 to 1500 of the family's 1533-position model. The record is from RNAcentral.
UUCUCAGUUCGGAUCGGAGUCUGCAACCCGACUCCGUGAAGCUGGAUUCGCUAGUAAUCGCGCAUCAGCCAUGGCGCGGUGAAUACGUUCCCGGGCCUUGUACACACCGCCCGUCAAGCCAUGGAAGCCGGGGGCGCUUGAAGUGCGUUGCCGCAAGGCGCGCCCUAGAGCGAAACCGGUGACUGGGGCUAAGUCGUAACAAGGUAUC